AGUGAACGCUGGCGGUAGGCCUAACACAUGCAAGUCGAACGGCAGCACAGUAAGAGCUUGCUCUUACGGGUGGCGAGUGGCGGACGGGUGAGGAAUACAUCGGAAUCUACUUUUUCGUGGGGGAUAACGUAGGGAAACUUACGCUAAUACCGCAUACGACCUACGGGUGAAAGCAGUGGAUCUUCGGACCUUGCGCGAUUGAAUGAGCCGAUGUCGGAUUAGCUAGUUGGCGGGGUAAAGGCCCACCAAGGCGACGAUCCGUAGCUGGUCGGAGAGGAGGAUCGGCCACACUGGAACUGAGACACGGUCCAGACUCCUACGGGAGGCAGCAGUGGGGAAUAUUGGACAAAGGGCGCAAGCCUGAUCCAGCCAUACCGCGUGGGUGAAGAAGGCCUUCGGGUUGUAAAGCCCUUUUGUGGGGAAAGAAAAGCAGCAGGUUAAUACCCCGCUGUUCUGACGGUACCCAAAGAAUAAGCACCGGCUAACUUCGUG
RNAcentral lists this ribosomal RNA (492 nucleotides) under uncultured bacterium. RNAcentral describes it as "partial 16S ribosomal RNA". It matches the Rfam family "Bacterial small subunit ribosomal RNA", at positions 29 to 507 of the family's 1533-position model. The record is from RNAcentral.